Molecule: ribosomal RNA, 506 nt
Filed under: uncultured bacterium
Lineage: Bacteria
Description: partial 16S ribosomal RNA
Rfam family: Bacterial small subunit ribosomal RNA
Source: RNAcentral
AGUGAACGCUGGCGGUAGGCCUAACACAUGCAAGUCGAACGGCAGCACAGGAGAGCUUGCUCUCUGGGUGGCGAGUGGCGGACGGGUGAGGAAUACAUCGGAAUCUACUCUGUCGUGGGGGAUAACGUAGGGAAACUUACGCUAAUACCGCAUACGACCUACGGGUGAAAGCAGGGGAUCUUCGGACCUUGCGCGAUUGAAUGAGCCGAUGUCGGAUUAGCUAGUUGGCGGGGUAAAGGCCCACCAAGGCGACGAUCCGUAGGUGGUCUGAAGGGAUGAUCAGCCACCAUGGAACUGAGGCACGGGCCAGGCUCCUACGGGAGGCAGCAGUGGGGAAUAUUGGACAAUGGGCGCAAGCCUGAUCCAGCCAUACCGCAUGGGUGAAGAAGGCCUUCGGGUUGUGAAGCCCUUUUGUUGGGAAAGAAAUCCAGCUGGCUAAUACCCGGUUGGGAUGACGGUACCCAAAGAAUAAGCACCGGCUAACUUCGUGCCAGCCGCCGCAGUAA